GGCUUCACUGGUUUCAUCGGGCGGCUUUCCGUUUUCUUUUUCAGCGCCGCCAUUCACAGCAGGGGUCUCGUCGGGACGGCCGCCGCCAAAGAUUGCCCACCAACGUGAUACUGUUCUGGUCUCCGUCGGCGGUGCCACAGCUGCAAGCUUCGUCGCCUCCACAACACAGCAUGGAGGCAGGGCGCCGCCGCCGGCCAACGGCGCUGCUUGGAGCGGAAGCAGGGUGACCGGGAUGCGUCUCUCUUCUCUCCGCCGAGCGAUGCCGCGAUCCAGAUCCUGAAAUCCGGGCCAUCUUCCCACACCGCGAACUGCGGCUUUCUUCCAUCUCCUGCAGUCGGGCAUACAUCCCAAUCGUCCUCGAGAUCACCCUCACCGGGACAAAUAUACUACGGUGAUCGGUGAUCUUUUCCUUCUCCCUCUAUACCUACGGAUGCCUUAUUUUCUAUAAUACAGAUCCUUGAGUCCUCACAUCCCAAGCUUUUAUGAUGGAUUCACAUUCCAUUAGGAUUUUUAAGCAUUGAUUUUUUUUAUUAUAAAAAAACAGUUUCAAAUCAGACUUCAACAUGAGACUGCAGAUCAUCAUGUCAUUAAUUGGAGUUUCUGACCGCGUGAAGGUUGCUCCUAUCAUAAUGUACAUAUAUUUUGUUGUAAAAAUAGUCAAAAUACAUACUCUCGUCAUUGUUUUUUUUCGAGAAGCAUGCAUUUCAUUAAGCAGCAUUGUUUUAAUUUCUAUAUCUCCAUACAUGAAUGUAUGUACAUAUACUACGAUGGUGUGGUUUAAGUAUGUACUUAUACUAUCUAAA
This is a long non-coding RNA of Sorghum bicolor (sorghum), 803 nucleotides long. RefSeq lists it as uncharacterized. NCBI's taxonomy places the organism in Eukaryota, Viridiplantae, Streptophyta, Magnoliopsida, Poales, Poaceae. The record is from RefSeq and is a predicted model, not a curated record. The transcript is spliced from 2 exons.